Long non-coding RNA from Neltuma alba, 716 nucleotides. RefSeq lists it as uncharacterized. Lineage: Eukaryota; Viridiplantae; Streptophyta; Magnoliopsida; Fabales; Fabaceae. The record is from RefSeq and is a predicted model, not a curated record. The transcript is spliced from 2 exons.
GUGGUGUAGGGUAGUUCCAGUAAUGAGGACUCAAGAAACUUUGGAUAUUGUGUUGAUGAUAGAAGAACAGGGGAGACCGAGACAUUGGCAUUCAGAUUUACUGAUCUCUUCAUGAGAUUUGCUUGACUCUAAUGGACUUUGGCCAUCUUGGCGAAGCUGUAAAGUGUUCAAUGUUGCAGUGGAUUCCAAGAGAUGUUUAUCUAGCUGUGGAAUGGGUGUUCUUCUCAGCUUUUAGAGGGAUGUGAUCGAAAGACUGGGUGUCAAAACCCCCUUCUCUCUAUACUAUUUUCCUAGUAUUCAUUAUUGAAUUGGCUAGGAGUUUUUGUCUCCUUUUCUUUUGUUUUUUCUCUGGUUUAUUCCUGGCUUCAUUUUCGCUUCCUUUGACAUGCCCAGUUUGGUUAAGUGAGGAAGAUGCUGAUGUUUGGUGCCUGUUGAAGCAAGUGGUUUCAGGAUUGCUGAAAAGGGUUCCUGGAGGGACUAACAAGGUGGCUAUUUUGCUGGCUAGCUGUCUUUACUGGAGUUUGAGUUUUGGUGUUAGGGAUUCAUUCCCCCCACCCUCGUUUUACUUUGUUUCUCUUGUCGAUGUUACUGGUAUAGGUUAGAUUGUUUCCGUUUGUGUUCGUCUUUUUGCUGGUUUUGUUUUGUUUAUUCCUGAACCGGUGUGUUAAGUUUCAGUUUCUUUGAAGUAAUAUAGUUUUUUUUUUCGGCCAAAAAAA